CCCUUCUUUUUCAAGCACCCUGCUGAAACUAUGUGAGUCGAGCCUAAAUGGUUUAACUCUUGUGGCAGUGUAAGCAUGGGCACACCAAAGAAGGAGACUAAAGACACAGAAUUGAAAGUGAGGCUUGGGGGGACCGCUUUCUUAAUGUCCAAUGCUCUUUGUCUCAAGAUUCUAUGCAACACUU
Molecule: small nucleolar RNA, 184 nt
Organism: Lampris incognitus (smalleye Pacific opah)
Lineage: Eukaryota; Metazoa; Chordata; Actinopteri; Lampriformes; Lampridae
Product: small nucleolar RNA SNORA81
Exons: 1
Source: RefSeq, a predicted model, not a curated record